CCCAGUGUGGCUGAUGACAGCACUGCUGCUGAGGCUCUGGGAUUGUUCAGUCUCAAAGUAAACCCCUGACGUGCCCUGG
This is a small nucleolar RNA of Lemur catta (Ring-tailed lemur), 79 nucleotides long. RefSeq annotates it as small nucleolar RNA U105B. The record is from RefSeq and is a predicted model, not a curated record. The transcript has a single exon. Lineage: Eukaryota; Metazoa; Chordata; Mammalia; Primates; Lemuridae.